GAGGGACGGGGCCAGGCGCGGGGCGGGGCUCUGCCCGGCGGGGUUCACGCCCCGGUCCAGCGACCUCUGGCCUCCCGCCCUGUCCCACCUGGAUCUCGCCCGCGCCGGAGAUAGCAUCUGCGCGCCCCGGGUCACAGCGGGCCCCGGACGGAGCCGGCACUGGGCCAGAGCCGUCCGCCCCAUUCCGGUUCCGGAGGGCCGCUUACCUGGCGGGCCCUGUGUGGACGCGGGGAAGGACGGAAGAAGGAAAGACAGGAAACUCACUCCAAAAACAAUUCUUAAAAGGGUCUUAAAAGUCAAGAAGCCUGUACACUGGGCGCUGGGCCAGUGCCUUUCACCUGUAAAGUGCCCCUCCUACUAACCCUGUCUGCAGGAAGUGCUCUGCUCUGCCCGAGCUGAUCGCAGCUUCGAACACAGGAACAAUUCUUCUGCUGUGAUGUAAGUCAGUAAACCUACAGCUUACUCUGUGGGUGGAGUGAGUGCCCAUGUCUGCUUUGGGUAACUCCUGGGACCAAGGUGGACUGACCUCAGAGCAGGAGCAGUGUCGCCCUGGUGCUUGCUGGAGUGUGGAUGGCACCAGCCUUCAGGAAGGAGGCAGGUGAAGAAAGUGCAAGGAACACAAGCACCAGACAAUAGGACGAUCAUGGUCCCUUUCUGUCCUCUGGGCCAGCUGUAAGGGAGUAGAACAGCUGGUUGCUAGGGUGGUUUGGGGUUGAUGGCUCAACAUCCCUCAGAGACUUGAGGAUCUGGCAACUGUGCAUGUGCUGGCUCUUCAAAGGGGUGGCGAUAAGGGCAAUAAGGCAAAUGCUGAGAGUGAGCAGGGCAGUGACAGCAACCCAGUCUCAAGUCACCUGUAGAGCUCAGGCCAGCAGUGCUGGAACCCUGGACCAGCUUCUGCCCCUCCAUGUCUCUUUGAUACUUGCCAAGUGACUGCAAGAGGAGACACUGCAGGUGUCAGUAGGCUGGGCUGCAGGGCACCACUCAGGCCACACUGAAAACAGGAGUAGGCGUCCUUCCGCGUCAUGCUGCUUCUGCUGGUCUUUUGGUGGCUUGUAGGAACCUCACCCAGCCAACAGUAUCUUGGCAGGUGUCAAGCACGCCAAGCUCCAGCUAAGCUUCUUUUUACAGUAUUCAUGGGAUCAUACCAUGCAUAUUUCACUGGGGUAAAAUACUCAUGUAGAUAAAUAGCCAGACAAUUUUAAAAAUUUAUGGGUCCUUCAAAGAAAACAUAAAAAUGAAUAAUAAUAUUUAAUAAGGCAAUUUGGUGUUUUAAAAGGUCUUGGCCUACAGGCUCUCCCUCCUUCCUAGUUAGGGAAAGGGUCCAAGAUCAAGGAGAGUAGAUGGAGGAGGCAAAGCCUGGCACAUCACUCUGGGGAAAACUCUAUAUAAAGAUGGCCAUAAAGCCCUUGGCAAAAUGACAGAGACCCAUUUCACUGAACACCAUGUCAAGGCAUCAUUUGACAAGUGAUGAUCAAAGUCUCACCGUGUCUCUGGCAUUUCCGAGAACAUCACGAAGCACUUACCUCUUUUUCUCACUGGAUGCCAGUCAACCAGAGUGCAGGGAGCUUGGUCUCAUAGCCUCUCACACUGCAACAAAGAGCAAGCAACUUUGUGUAUGUCAGAUAUUCAAUAAAUAUUUCUUGAGUUAAACUCCAAGUUGCCCGAGCUAAUGGAAGUAAAUUAACCUAAGUAAUUUCCUAUAGGUUUAAAACUGUGUGCUGGGAGUUUGCUUUAUUUUUCUCAUCAACAGAUUUAUCUUUGUAAUUAUACUUUGUUUGCACAAGGCCUAAAAUUCAUUUGUAUCCCUGGUCUGUAAUUAACAGUUUGCUAGUGGUAGCCACAAAGCAGAUAACGCACUGGUGCGGGAAGGUUGGUUGUUUCGCUCUAUGUUCAGUUACUAACUCGGUGGAUUCUGCUCUGUUCACACCGGAUGCGUGAACAUUAGGUGAGUGGAUUUCAGAAAGUGCAGCAAAGCCUUAUGUGAACAAGGCCAACACUUGACUGCAGACCACAGCCAUACACAGACUCACACACAGUCAAAGCCACUUGUCACUUCACUUCUAGCAAAAAAGAGGAAAAAAGGAGAUUUGAGGACUGGUUAUGU
Molecule: RNA transcript, 2104 nt
Organism: Chinchilla lanigera (long-tailed chinchilla)
Lineage: Eukaryota; Metazoa; Chordata; Mammalia; Rodentia; Chinchillidae
Gene: Galr1
Gene name: galanin receptor 1
Exons: 4
Source: RefSeq, a predicted model, not a curated record